Molecule: ribosomal RNA, 297 nt
Filed under: Triticum aestivum (bread wheat)
Lineage: Eukaryota; Viridiplantae; Streptophyta; Magnoliopsida; Poales; Poaceae
Description: partial small subunit ribosomal RNA
Source: RNAcentral
CUGGGUCUUGCGGCGAUCGAACGCUGCAGGAAAAGGCAGGCCUCCCGGCUCACCUGGAUGCGUGCGGGAGAUGCUCCUACCAAGUUUUUCAUGGCCAAGAUCAGCUCAAGAAGACGCAAGAACUUCAUCAAUGCCCUGAAAGUGGGAGACAGCAUCGUGACUGCACAUGCAGAGAAGCAAAAGGCAAUUCACGAGGAUUUCAACUGCAUUCUAGGAUCCACACAACAUCGAGCUACGUCGAUCAACUGGGAUGAGCUAUGUAUGCCCGCGCUGCAAGCAAGCGGACUGGACAACCCG